UCUUUCCUGACUAUCACUUCCAUCUUUUUCAGGAUAUUGCUGUAUGACUAUUAAUAACAAGCAGUGAACGCUCCACAUCUCUGUAAUAUCCCAGAUCUGACAGAAAUAUUGCCCUUUUCCUGUAUGACACACUCUCCAAGUCAGACACUGUUCUGACUGUACGUUCAGUCGCAGGUGGCGAUGCCAGUGGAGAGAAUGCGCAUGCGUCCAUGGCUAGAAGAACAAAUAAAUUCAAAUAAAAUACCUGGUUUGAAAUGGCUGAACAAGGUAAGGACUCCAGUAUAUUCAGAAAGCCAGUGAAGGUUUAAUGCCAUGGAAAAACCUCUUUGUUUUAUCCAAACAAUAUUUUGUGUUUGAAGCUGCAGUAGGAGCCCACUAUUUUGUUGUGGAGG
Rhincodon typus (whale shark) is the source of this 392-nucleotide long non-coding RNA. RefSeq lists it as uncharacterized. Lineage: Eukaryota; Metazoa; Chordata; Chondrichthyes; Orectolobiformes; Rhincodontidae. The record is from RefSeq and is a predicted model, not a curated record. The transcript has 3 exons.